Molecule: RNA transcript, 1705 nt
Organism: Gossypium raimondii (Peruvian cotton)
Lineage: Eukaryota; Viridiplantae; Streptophyta; Magnoliopsida; Malvales; Malvaceae
Gene name: protein ALP1-like
Exons: 4
Source: RefSeq, a predicted model, not a curated record
UUUGAGAGAAUCUCUCUAAAAGCUCUACGCAAAGCCCUCUCUUUUUCUUCCCAGGGAAAAAAAAUCUGAACAUGUUUCAGUAGGUUUUUAUAAAGAAUAGAAGAUUGUGUCUAUUCGCAUGUCGAUGUCGUUUGUUUUGUGUUGGCACAUUGUCUAAAAACAACACACUUUGAAACUUCUUUACUUGCCUGUAGAUUUUCUCAUCAGGCUGAUGGGUCCUGUAAGAGGGUUAAAGAAAAGAAGAAAGGUAGAGAAGAAACCUGAAGAAAAUGCCUCUGCUUCUUCUGAGAUGGAACGGUCUGUUGAUUGGUGGGAUGCGCUUUCCAAGAGGAUGAAUGGUCUUCAAUCGCCAUCUAAAGGUCUGGACAAGUUCAAAUCAGUUUUCAAAAUUUCCAGAAAAACUUUCAGCUACAUAUGUUCACUUGUGAUGGAAGACAUGAUGGCUAAGCCAGGAAAUUUCACAUUUUCAAAUGGAAAACCUUUGUCUUUCGAAGAUCAAGUAGCUGUAGCUUUGAGAAGGCUAAGCUCUGGUGAAUCACUAGUGACAAUUGGUGAUCUGUUCGGGCUGCAUCGCUCUACUGUCUCGCAAUUGACCUGGCGCUUUGUAGAGGCCAUGGAAGAAAGGGGUCUUCACCACUUGCAUUGGCCUUCCACUGAUGCAGAAAUGAUGGAAAUAAAGUCCAAAUUUGAAAAGAUUCAAGGACUUCCCAACUGCUGUGGUGUGAUUGACACUACUCAUGUUACGAUGUGUUUGCCUUCAUCAGACCCUGAAAGUAAGGUGUGGCUCGAUCGUGAGAAGAAUCAUAGCAUGGUCCUGCAGGCAAUUGUGGACCCUGAAAUGAGGUUCAGGGACAUUGUUACCGGUUGGCCAGGGAAGAUCGACGACUGGCUGGUGUUUCAGAGUUCAAAUUUCUAUAAACUGUGUGAUAAAGGAGAGAGAUUGAAUGGCAAAAAAGUUGAGGUGUCUAAAGGAUCAGAAAUAAGGGAAUACAUAAUCGGAGACUUAGGCUAUCCUUUGUUACCCUAUCUUGUUAUACCAUACAAGGGGAAAGAGCUACCAGAGAUUAACACUGAGUUCAAUAAAAGACAUUCGGCGACUCGGCUGGUGGCACGCAGGGCCUUGGCAAGGCUGAAAGAAAUGUGGAAGAUCAUCCAAGGGGUGAUGUGGAGACCUGACAAACAUAAGUUGCCCAGGAUCAUCCUGGUUUGCUGCUUGCUUCACAAUAUUGUUAUUGACUUGGAAGAUGAUGAUGUGCAGGAUGAAAUGCCUUUGUCUCAUGACCAUGAUUCGGGUUACCGACAACGGAUUUGCGAAUCUUUUGACAUUGAAGGUGUCCACCUGAGAGAGAAACUUUCUGUCUACUUGUCUGGGAAAUUACCACCUUAAAUUACUUUACCAUUUCUGAUUCCUGAUCGGUAGUUUAUUGACAUAGAAAAAGCAGGCAGGCUCCUCAAAUUAUAAAGGGAAGACGGGAAAUUUUAGAUCGCUCAGGGAACGAAAUAGGCAUGCUUGCUCAAUUAUACUGGAACAUCCAAUCCAUCCUUUUUAACUUGUGACUUGCAAAACAAGUUAAACGACUGAAUAUAGUGUUUCUCUUCUGGAUUGUUAAGCGUGUUUUCCUUUGCAAGCCCUUUAUCUUAAGCCAUUAUCAAACUCAAAAGAAAACAAAAGAAAUCUCAUUGACACACACAAACCAAAGCCUCC